AUUGAACGCUGGCGGCAUGCCUUACACAUGCAAGUCGAACGGCAGCACGGGUGCUUGCACCUGGUGGCGAGUGGCGAACGGGUGAGUAAUACAUCGGAACAUGUCCUGUAGUGGGGGAUAGCCCGGCGAAAGCCGGAUUAAUACCGCAUACGAUCUACGGAUGAAAGCGGGGGACCUUCGGGCCUCGCGCUAUAGGGUUGGCCGAUGGCUGAUUAGCUAGUUGGUGGGGUAAAGGCCUACCAAGGCGACGAUCAGUAGCUGGUCUGAGAGGACGACCAGCCACACUGGGACUGAGACACGGCCCAGACUCCUACGGGAGGCAGCAGUGGGGAAUUUUGGACAAUGGGCGAAAGCCUGAUCCGGCAAUGCCGCGUGUGUGAAGAAGGCCUUCGGGUUGUAAAGCACUUUUGUCCGGAAAGAAAUCCUUGGCCCUAAUACGGUCGGGGGAUGACGGUACCGGAAGAAUAAGCACCGGCUAACUACGU
Molecule: ribosomal RNA, 485 nt
Filed under: uncultured bacterium
Lineage: Bacteria
Description: partial 16S ribosomal RNA
Rfam family: Bacterial small subunit ribosomal RNA
Source: RNAcentral